Molecule: long non-coding RNA, 644 nt
Filed under: Phasianus colchicus (ring-necked pheasant)
Lineage: Eukaryota; Metazoa; Chordata; Aves; Galliformes; Phasianidae
Description: lncRNA (ENSPCLG00000020914.1)
Source: RNAcentral
UGGAGACUUUGAAGUGGGAAGCAGUAAGUGCCCCCUGUGCUGGGCUGUGUGCAAGGGGGGGAGGCAGCCCCUGAGGAUCAGCGCUGUGCCUUGGCUUGUGAGGAUGAGAGAAAAGACGGAAUUAAUGAGAUGGGCUCGGAUCUCCAAAGGCAAUGAAGUAAUCAGCAGCUCAGAGUCAAAAUAUCUGGAGACAUGUCAGAUGCCUUCCUUACCUCUGGUGACUGUAAAUGAAGUGCAACACAUGAAUGUAUUCCCCCCAAGAAAUGCAAUAAACUAUUUUGCUGUCAAGUGCAUUAAGAUUUCAACAUACAGUGAAAUCAUUCUUCUGCUGCUUUCCAGUCAACAGUUUCUUUGGCCCCACGCAGCUCUAUUGAAAGAGCAUAGGCACUUGAGACCUUAUCAGUUUGCAACCUGGCAGAACAUAUUUGAGCUUAUCUGCAUUUUCCAGUGGCUCCAUUGUGUUGGAUGUUUCCAGGAUGUCUACUUUGGCAUCCAGCUUCAGUUGGAUGGUUCUCGCUAGUGUUGGCACUUCCCACUUUAUGGUACAAAGUGGACUUCACAGGGCUUUCAAUUUCUUACGGCCACAAACAUCUUUAUUUUGAAAAUGGACUAAUCUUAAUAAUUUAAUGGUAACCUCCAGUCUA